CCUACGGUUGGCAGCAGUGGGGAAUCUUGCACAAUGGGGGAAACCCUUAUGCAGCGACGCCGCGUGAGUGAAGAAGUAAUUCGUUAUGUAACGCUCUAUCAGCAGGGAAGAACAGUACGUUACCUGAGUAAGAAUCCCCUGAUAACUACGUGCCAGCAUCCGCGGGAAUACGGAGGGGGAGAGCGUUCUCCGGACUUACGUGGUUGAACGGGCCCGUAGACGGCAGUGCAAGUCUGGAGUGAAAGGCGGGUGCGCAACCCCCGGACUGCUCUGGAAACUGUACGUCUGGAGUGCCGGAGAGGAAAGUGGAAUUCCUAGUGUAGCGGUGAAAUGCGUAGAGAUUAGGAGGAACAGCAGUGGCGAAGGCGGCCUGCUGGACGACAACUGACGGUGAGGCGCGAAAGCGUGGGGAGCAAACAGGAUUAGAUACCCGGGUAGUC
This 440-nucleotide ribosomal RNA is filed under the name uncultured bacterium. Its description in RNAcentral is "partial 16S ribosomal RNA". It matches the Rfam family "Bacterial small subunit ribosomal RNA", at positions 338 to 795 of the family's 1533-position model. The record is from RNAcentral.